RNAcentral lists this ribosomal RNA (252 nucleotides) under uncultured prokaryote. RNAcentral describes it as "partial 16S ribosomal RNA". It matches the Rfam family "Bacterial small subunit ribosomal RNA", at positions 526 to 777 of the family's 1533-position model. The record is from RNAcentral.
CGAAGGGUGCAAGCGUUACUCGGAAUUACUGGGCGUAAAGCGUGCGUAGGUGGUUGAUUAAGUCUGUCGUGAAAGCCCUGGCCUCAACCUGGGAAUUGCGAUGGAUACUGGCGAGCUAGAGUGUGUCAGAGGAUGGUGGAAUUCCCGGUGUAGCGGUGAAAUGCGUAGAGAUCGGGAGGAACAUCAGUGGCGAAGGCGGCCAUCUGGGACAACACUGACGCUGAAGCACGAAAGCGUGGGGAGCAAACAGGA